Molecule: transfer RNA, 75 nt
Filed under: Helix pomatia (Roman snail)
Lineage: Eukaryota; Metazoa; Mollusca; Gastropoda; Stylommatophora; Helicidae
Description: tRNA-Ser
Source: RNAcentral
AAGCAUAUAAAUAAAAUUUAUUUUUUUUUUACUAUAGAAAGAAAAAUUGUGGCUGCUAACUACAAUAAGGGUUAC